GAUGAACGCUGGCGGCGUGCCUAAUACAUGCAAGUCGAACGGAGGAUGUAGCAAUACUUCCUUAGUGGCGAACGGGUGAGUAACGCGUUGGUGACCUGCCCCGAAGAGGGGGAUAACAGUUCGAAAGAAUUGCUAAUACCCCAUGUGGUCAUCAGGGUUUGAGUCCUGAUGAUUAAAGGAGAAAUUCACUUCGGGAGGGGCCUGCGUCCCAUCAGCUAGUUGGUAGGGUAAUGGCCUACCAAGGCGAUGACGGGUAGGGGACCUGAGAGGGUGGCCCCCCACAAUGGAACUGAGACACGGACCAGACUCCUACGGGAGGCUG
This 322-nucleotide ribosomal RNA is filed under the name uncultured Chloroflexota bacterium. RNAcentral describes it as "bacterial SSU rRNA". It matches the Rfam family "Bacterial small subunit ribosomal RNA", at positions 28 to 351 of the family's 1533-position model. The record is from RNAcentral. Lineage: Bacteria; Bacillati; Chloroflexota.